Molecule: ribosomal RNA, 452 nt
Filed under: uncultured bacterium
Lineage: Bacteria
Description: bacterial SSU rRNA
Rfam family: Bacterial small subunit ribosomal RNA
Source: RNAcentral
AGCGAACGCUGGCGGCAGGCUUAACACAUGCAAGUCGAGCGGGCGUAGCAAUACGUCAGCGGCAGACGGGUGAGUAACACGUGGGAACGUACCUUUUGGUUCGGAACAACACAGGGAAACUUGUGCUAAUACCGAAUAAGCCCUUACGGGGAAAGAUUUAUCGCCGAAAGAUCGGCCCGCGUCUGAUUAGCUUGUUGGUGAGGUAACGGCUCACCAAGGCGACGAUCAGUAGCUGGUCNGAGAGGAUGAUCAGCCACACUGGGACUGAGACACGGCCCAGACUCCUACGGGAGGCAGCAGUGGGGAAUAUUGGACAAUGGGGGCAACCCUGAUCCAGCCAUGCCGCGUGAGUGAUGAAGGCCCUAGGGUUGUAAAGCUCUUUUGUGCGGGAAGAUAAUGACGGUACCGCAAGAAUAAGCCCCGGCUAACUUCGUGCCAGCAGCCGCCGUAAU